UGGGCGUAAAGCGAGCGCAGACGGUUACUUAAGCAGGAUGUGAAAUCCCCGGGCUCAACCUGGGAACUGCGUUCUGAACUGGGUGACUAGAGUGUGUCAGAGGGAGGUAGAAUUCCACGUGUAGCAGUGAAAUGCGUAGAGAUGUGGAGGAAUACCGAUGGCGAAGGCAGCCUCCUGGGAUAACACUGACGUUCAUGCUCGAAAGCGUGGGUAGCAAACAGGAUUAGAUACCCUGGUAGUCCACGCCCUAAACGAUGUCAAUUAGCUGUUGGGCAACUUGAUUGCUUAGUAGCAUAGCUAACGCGUGAAAUUGACCGCCUGGGGAGUACGGUCGCAAGAUUAAAACUCAAAGGAAUUGACGGGGACCCGCACAAGCGGUGGAUGAUGUGGAUUAAUUCGAUGCAACGCGAAGAACCUUACCUGGUCUUGACAUGUACGGAAUCCUCCAGAGACGGAGGAGUGCCUUCGGGAGCCGUAACACAGGUGCUGCAUGGCUGUCGUCAGCUCGUGUCGUGAG
RNAcentral lists this ribosomal RNA (517 nucleotides) under uncultured bacterium. RNAcentral describes it as "bacterial SSU rRNA". It matches the Rfam family "Bacterial small subunit ribosomal RNA", at positions 555 to 1071 of the family's 1533-position model. The record is from RNAcentral.